GGGCGCAGCAGGCGCGAAACCUUUACACUGUACGCMAGUGCGAUAAGGGGACUCCGAGUGUGAAGGCAUAGAGCCUUCACUUUUGUACACCGUAAGGUGGUGUACGAAUAAGGGCUGGGCAAGACCGGUGCCAGCCGCCGCGGUAAUACCGGCAGCCCGAGUGAUGGCCGGUAUUAUUGGGCCUAAAGCGUCCGUAGCUGGCCGGACAAGUCCGUUGGGAAAUCUGUUCGCUUAACGAGCAGGCGUCCAGCGGAAACUGUUCGGCUUGGGACCGGAAGACCUGAGGGGUACGUCCGGGGUAGGAGUGAAAUCCUGUAAUCCUGGACGGACCACCGGUGGCGAAAGCGCCUCAGGAGGACGGAUCCGACAGUGAGGGACGAAAGCUAGGGUCUCGAACCGGAUUAGAUACCCCGGUAGUCC
This 420-nucleotide ribosomal RNA is filed under the name uncultured archaeon. Its description in RNAcentral is "bacterial SSU rRNA". It matches the Rfam family "Archaeal small subunit ribosomal RNA", at positions 328 to 747 of the family's 1478-position model. The record is from RNAcentral.